CAGGACGAACGCUGGCGGCGUGCCUAACACAUGCAAGUCGAGCGAGGAGAUUCCUUCGGGAUGAUCCUAGCGGCGGACGGGUGAGUAACACGUGGGCAACCUGCCUCAUAGAGAGGAAUAGCCUUCCGAAAGGGAGAUUAAUACCUCAUAACAUUGCAGUUUCGCAUGAAACAGCAAUUAAAGGAGCAAUCCGCUAUGAGAUGGGCCCGCGGCGCAUUAGCUAGUUGGUGAGGUAACGGCUCACCAAGGCGACGAUGCGUAGCCGACCUGAGAGGGUGAUCGGCCACAUUGGGACUGAGACACGGCCCAGACUCCUACGGGAGGCAGCAGUGGGGAAUAUUGCACAAUGGGGGAAACCCUGAUGCCAGCAACGCCGCGUGAGUGAUGACGGCCUUCGGGUUGUAAAGCUCUGUCUUCAGGGACGAUAAUGACGGUACCUGAGGAGGAAGCCACGGCUAACUACGUGCCAGCCGCCGC
This 477-nucleotide ribosomal RNA is filed under the name uncultured bacterium. RNAcentral describes it as "bacterial SSU rRNA". It matches the Rfam family "Bacterial small subunit ribosomal RNA", at positions 25 to 518 of the family's 1533-position model. The record is from RNAcentral.